AUGGAUAUCCAUCGAAAUCAAUCUUGAACUAAUCUUCUCGUAGUAGAUUCUUCUUCUCUAAGUAAAAUCUUAGCCUUAAAACUCAGAUCAAUUUCUUGAUCUAGAUUACGAGAUUAACUCUUUGAUCUGCAGUCUUCUUCUUCUUCUCCUUGUUCUUCGCUUUUGAAAAAAAAUCACCUUAGACUUUUGGUGCAUGGAAAGUGGGAUAGCCAACCCAUGAGC
This 222-nucleotide long non-coding RNA is filed under the name Elaeis guineensis (African oil palm). RNAcentral's name for it is "long non-coding RNA (EGUI_LNC077499)". The record is from RNAcentral. Lineage: Eukaryota; Viridiplantae; Streptophyta; Magnoliopsida; Arecales; Arecaceae.